GUGUAAGCGUUGUGAGGCGUUGAGCUAACCAGUACUAAUUGCCCGUGAGGCUUGACCAUAUAACACCCAAACA
This 73-nucleotide ribosomal RNA is filed under the name Pseudomonas aeruginosa. RNAcentral's name for it is "partial 23S ribosomal RNA". Lineage: Bacteria; Pseudomonadati; Pseudomonadota; Gammaproteobacteria; Pseudomonadales; Pseudomonadaceae. The record is from RNAcentral.